RNAcentral lists this long non-coding RNA (724 nucleotides) under Bos indicus x Bos taurus (hybrid cattle). RNAcentral's name for it is "lncRNA (ENSBIXG00000016144.1)". Lineage: Eukaryota; Metazoa; Chordata; Mammalia; Artiodactyla; Bovidae. The record is from RNAcentral.
CAGACAUGACUGAGCAACUAACACUUUCUUUCACUUUCAAUACUUUAACUAUGUCAGCAGAACCAUGUAUAUGUUUCACUGAGUUAAACGAAUUAAACUGAACUGAGUUAAAAUGAACCACAUCCAGAUUGGGAGUGUGUCUCAUGAGUGUGUCUACAUUGAGAAGCUUGCACAUUUGUUUAUGAGAAUAUCUCAUUUUUAUAAUAUUUUAUAUACAUGGUAUUAAUAUAUAUUAAUGUGCUUAUAUAUAUUUAUUUGAAUGGGAGUAUCUUUUUUUUAGUUUAAAAUGUGGAUUCUAUCCAUUUCAACUUAUCCUUUUUUUGUCUUUCAGAAAUCAUAAGUCAGAAUAAUUUAAUAUGUUUACCUAGUCCAGAUGGACUCUAAUAGAUCAGUUAGAUUGAAGAGACUAGACAAGAAGAACUCUUGACAGUAAUGACCCGAACUCUCAGCUAUAUGCAAAUUAAUUUACUUAGUGAAGAUAGUCUGAAAUAUUAUGAUAACAAUUAAGACUGUUCUAAUUAUCUGUCCAGGUUACUUUCCCAACCCCAGAUUCAGAGUAAGAAAUGGCAGCCCACUCCAAUAUUCAAGCCUGGAAAGCUAUCAAUAUCAGGUUAAAAUAAUUACUCCUUUGGGAACAUUUCGUUAACUUCAUUUACAGAGAUCUAAAUUCCAUCCAAGCAAAAGACGUAAUAAAUGCAAAACUCAAUUGGAAAAAUAAAGAGGU